AGCUUCUACCAGGGUUCGAUUCGAGCGCAGCGAGAAAGCGUUGCCGCAGGCAACGACCCGAAGGGCGAAGCGCGCAGCGCUGAGUCAUCCUUCCCCCACCACCA
RNAcentral lists this small RNA (104 nucleotides) under Salmonella enterica. Its description in RNAcentral is "partial RtT sRNA". It matches the Rfam family "RtT RNA", at positions 28 to 130 of the family's 130-position model. Rfam says of the family: This family represents a bacterial cis-regulatory element known as RtT RNA. The exact function of RtT is unknown although it is thought that it may be involved in changing the cellular response in relation to amino acid starvation. Lineage: Bacteria; Pseudomonadati; Pseudomonadota; Gammaproteobacteria; Enterobacterales; Enterobacteriaceae. RNAcentral also lists the same sequence under 1 other name. The record is from RNAcentral.